GAUGAACGCUGGCGGCGUGCCUAAUACAUGCAAGUCGAGCGAACGGACGAGAAGCUUGCUUCUCUGAUGUUAGCGGCGGACGGGUGAGUAACACGUGGAUAACCUACCUAUAAGACUGGGAUAACUUCGGGAAACCGGAGCUAAUACCGGAUAAUAUUUUGAACCGCAUGGUUCAAAAGUGAAAGACGGUCUUGCUGUCACUUAUAGAUGGAUCCGCGCUGCAUUAGCUAGUUGGUAAGGUAACGGCUUACCAAGGCAACGAUGCAUAGCCGACCUGAGAGGGUGAUCGGCCACACUGGAACUGAGACACGGUCCAGACUCCUACGGGAGGCAGCGGUAGGGAAUCUUCCGCAAUGGGCGAAAGACUGACGGAGCAACGCCGCGUGAGUGAUGAAGGUCUUCGGAUCGUAAAACUCUGUUAUUAGGGAAGAACAUAUGUGUAAGUAACUGUGCACAUCUUGACGGUACCUAAUCAGAAAGCCACGGCUAACUACGUG
This 497-nucleotide ribosomal RNA is filed under the name uncultured bacterium. Its description in RNAcentral is "partial 16S ribosomal RNA". It matches the Rfam family "Bacterial small subunit ribosomal RNA", at positions 28 to 507 of the family's 1533-position model. The record is from RNAcentral.